Long non-coding RNA from Hemicordylus capensis (graceful crag lizard), 2238 nucleotides. RefSeq lists it as uncharacterized. The transcript has 4 exons. The record is from RefSeq and is a predicted model, not a curated record. Lineage: Eukaryota; Metazoa; Chordata; Lepidosauria; Squamata; Cordylidae.
AAGUCAAAACAUGCUUGCACUUUCUUUGUGGGCAGAAUGGCAGGAUGAAAUAUAAACAGAGCUUGGCUGUGGCAGAUCCUUUUCCUGUUCAUUGCACUGGACCAGUUUAACAUCAUUAAAUUGGGAUUCAAGCAAAAUACUGCCUUGCACAUUGCAUUCAAUCAUUCCUGAGCGUUGUCUAACGGCACCAGCAGAAAAGCACUUUCUGAGCUUCCUGGAAAUACUCUUAUGGAGACAUGCCCCUGACUGCCUGCUUCAGAGAGAAUACAAUCAUCCAUGAGAAGAGUGCUGGGUGGAUUGCUAUGUUCCCCUGAGAACUGGCCCAUGUACUGCCUGAUGCGGCCCACUUGACCUUGCUUCAUGGUAGGGCUGGCCCUGCUUUGACCUAAAGAUUAUUUUUCUGCACUUCUACAGAGCAGGCAAUUUAGUUUAAGCCAUUAACAAAUUUAUUUAUUUAUUCAUUCAUUCAGCCAGAAUAGGCGUGCAUCCGGUCUGGACAAAGGUCUAUUAUUUAGAGCUCAGAGACUUUAGUGGGAAUAAGCAGCUGCUCCCCCACUGAAUCUUUUGCAGAAAACUUGCAUUUCCCCCGGGGUCUCAUAUUCAACCUGCCCCCCCCCCGCCGUGAUCACACACUGCCUAGUGAUGCAGAACCAGCAUCCUGCACGCUCCUAUGCUCUUCCUCUUGCUCCAUGGUGGUGGCAUUGGCUCCUCUGAGGAGGGAGGGGGCUGUUUCCCCCCCUUUAUGCAGAACCAGCAUCCUGCAUGCUCCUCCCUCCUCCUCUUGCUCCACAGCAGUGGCAGCGGAUCCUCUGAGGAGGGAGGGGGGCCAUUUUUCCCCUUUCCAGCCCCCUCACUUGGCUUUCAGUUAGAUCCGGAUGGCGUUUUGCUCAGUGCUUGGGAGAUGGGAAGUAAUGAUAGCUGGCAACCAAACUGAACUCCAUGUCCCCCACCCCCAGCGUCCCCCUGCCCCCAGCACUUGCAAUUGCAAAUCACUGAGAGCAGACCACGCAGCUGUCAAACUCCCCUUCACUGUGUUUUGAAAAAAGCUGAAUGGCUGCCAAUGGCCACUCCACACAAGCAGUGGGGAAUACCAGAAAGCAUGGCUUUUCCAAAAAAAAAAAGCUGCUGCAAACAGAGGAUUCUUUUACCCCUGACAUAAUGUGAGCCAAGCAAGAAUGCACAGUAAUUCUUAACAGUAAUUUGGGGGAAAACAGAGUCAGGUGUGUACUCAUCCCUGAUAGACUGCAGGGACCUUGAAGUAAACAAAAUUAAUAUGUGGACUUGCACACUCUUAUCCAGAGUGGAUUUGAAAUAAAAGCCAUGUCUGGAAAGCCUCCUGCUGAAUUCUUCAGAAUGUUAAUGGACAUUCCAUAUUACUGAAGAAGCUUGGCCAAUUAGGGAUGUGCACGAAACCAGCUGACUUGGUUUGGUUCAAGUCCAAACCGGACUUGAAAAUGACCAGGCUAGUUCAGUCUGGCACACCCUCGAACCCCCCUGGUUUGGUUUGGUCCAAGGGGGUUCACGGACUUUUUAAAAAAACUUUUUUUGUUGUUAAUGUCACUUACCCCCUGUGGUGGAGUUGUUGGAGGAGGCGGAGGGGUCCGUGGAGGUCCCCCCCCCCCGCCAGCCUCAAUGCAGCCUGAACCGGCCAGUUCAGCUGGCUCUACCCCCUUGGCCACUUUGGGUGCCGCUGCACCUGCGCAAUUGGCCUCUGAGAAGCCUGGGUCAUUCCAGGCCUCUCAGAGGCCAUUUGCGCAGGUGUGGCGGCCUCCAAAAUGGCCAUCGUGCUGAGGUGGAAGGCCUGAACGGGCUGAAGAGCUGGUUUGGGCUGCAUUGAGGCCAGUGGGAGGAGGGGGAGCCUCUGUGGAACACACAUACCCCUGCCGCCUCCAACAACUCCCCAAGAGGGGGUAAGUGAUAUAACAUUUUUGGAAGUAUUUUUUUAAAGGCCACGAACCCCUGAACAGUCGGGGGAUGUUCGGUCUGGGGUCGGACCGAACAGGGGGUGGUUCGGUUCGACCCCGGAACAUUGAGCCAGUUUGCACAUCCCUACGGCCAAUGUGUGGAGGAAGGCCUGAUUUAUAUAUAACCCAACAAGUGACUAAUGCAGAAUCAAAGUCAACAGAGUGUGAAUACUUGAAUUGUUGGUAAAUGUACAUACUCUAGUCCAGGGAUUCUCAACGUUGGGUCCCCAGAAGUUAUUGGACUUCAACUCCCAUAAUCCCCAACCAAAGGUCA